GAUGAACGCUGGCGGCGUGCCUAAUACAUGCAAGUCGAGCGAACAGACGAGGAGCUUGCUCCUCUGACGUUAGCGGCGGACGGGUGAGUAACACGUGGAUAACCUACCUAUAAGACUGGGAUAACUUCGGGAAACCGGAGCUAAUACCGGAUAAUAUCUUGAACCGCAUGGUUCAAUAGUGAAAGACGGUUUUGCUGUCACUUCUAGAUGGAUCCGCGCCGCAUUAGCUAGUUGGUAAGGUAACGGCUUACCAAGGCAACGAUGCGUAGCCGACCUGAGAGGGUGAUCGGCCACACUGGAACUGAGACACGGUCCAGACUCCUACGGGAGGCAGCAGUAGGGAAUCUUCCGCAAUGGGCGAAAGCUUGACGGAGCAACGCCGCGUGAGUGAUGAAGGUCUUCGGAUCGUAAAACUCUGUUAUUAGGGAAGAACAAAUGUGUAAGUAACUAUGCACGUCUUGACGGUACCUAAUCAGAAAGCCACGGCUAACUACGUG
RNAcentral lists this ribosomal RNA (497 nucleotides) under uncultured bacterium. Its description in RNAcentral is "partial 16S ribosomal RNA". It matches the Rfam family "Bacterial small subunit ribosomal RNA", at positions 28 to 507 of the family's 1533-position model. The record is from RNAcentral.